CGUUUGUCUUCUUCAUUGCCUCGUUCUUCUUCCUUGCGGGAUUUCAGGCAAGAUGACCAUACCCUCGAAAUCACUUCUAUCUUUGCUUGCUAGUUGCUCGCUCUUUUGCUAUACCUAUGCUGCGAUACCUACCACUUGCUUAUCAUGCCUCCCAUAUUGUUAAGCCAAGCCUCUAACCCACCUUGUCCUAGCAAACCGUUGUUUGGCUAUGUUACCGCUUUGCUCAGCCCCUCUUAUAGCGUUGCUAGUUGCAGGUGAAGAUUGGAGUUUGUUCCUUGUUGGAAUAUAGAUAUCUUGUUGGGAUAUCACAAUAUCUCUUAUCUAAUUAAUGCAUCUAUAUACUUGGUAAAGGGUGGAAGGCUCGGCCUUAUGCCUGGUGUUUUGUUCCACUCUUGUCGCCCUAGUUUCCGUCAUAUCCGUGUUAUGUUCCUGGAUUUUGUGUUCCUUACGCGGUUGGGUUAUAAUGGGAACCCCUUGACAGUUCGCCUUGAAUAAAACUCCUCCAGGAAGGCCCAACCUUGGUUUUACCAUUCACCACCUAGCCUUUUUCCCUUGGGUUAGUCCAGCCCAAGGGUCAUCUUUAUUUUAACCCCCCGGGCCAGUGCUUGUCUAAGUGUUGGUCCGAAACAGAGCCACUUGCGGCGCCACCUCGGGGAAACUUGAGGGCUAGUUUUAGCUAUACGUAGUGUUCAUCCGAUGUUGCCCUGAGAACGAGAUAUGUGCAGCUCCCAUCAGGAUGUCGGCGCAUCGGGCGGUCUUGCUGGACUUGUUUUACCAUUGCCGAGGAUGUCUUGUAACCGGGAUUUCGAGUCUGAUCGGGUCUUCCCGCUAGAAGGAAUAUCCUUCGUUGACCGUGAGAUCUUGUGAUGGGCUAAGUUGGGACACCCCUACAGGGUUUUGAACUUUCAAAAGCCGUGCCCGCGGUUAUGGGCAGAUGGGAAUUUGUUAAUGUCCGAUUGUAGAAAACCUGAAGUUGACCUUAAUUAAAAUGCAUCAACCGCGUGUGUAACCGUGAUGGUCUCUUUCCGGCGGAGUCCGGGAAGUGAACACAGUGUUGGAGUUAUGCUUGACGUAGGUUGUUUUAGGAUCACUUCUUGAUCAUAGUUUCACGAUCGUGCUUUGCCUCCUCUUCUCGCUCUCUUUUGCGAAUAGGUUAGCCACCAGAUAUGCUAGUCGCUUGCUGUAGCUCCACCUCAUACCUUUUACCUUACCCAUAAGCUUAAAUAGUCUUGAUCGCGAGGGUGCGAGAUUGCUGAGUCCCCGUGGCUCACAGAUACUUCCAAAACCAGCUUGCAGGUGCCGAUGAGUCUGUGCAGAUGACGCAACCAAGCUCAGGAGGAGCUUGAUGAGUCUGUGCAGAUUGCUGAGUCCCUUUGUGUUGUUUCGUUCUAGUUGAUCAGUAGUGGAGCCCAGUUGGGGUUGAUCGGGGACCCUGUCGCUUUUGGGGUUCUUCUUUUAUUUUGGUUCCGUAGUCGGACCUUGAUUGUAUUUGGAUGAUGUAAUGCUUUAUUCAUGUAUUGUGUGAAGUGGCGAUUGUAAGCCGACUAUGUAUCUCUUUCC
RNAcentral lists this long non-coding RNA (1560 nucleotides) under Triticum aestivum (bread wheat). RNAcentral describes it as "long non-coding RNA (TAES_LNC010108)". Lineage: Eukaryota; Viridiplantae; Streptophyta; Magnoliopsida; Poales; Poaceae. The record is from RNAcentral.